Molecule: ribosomal RNA, 492 nt
Filed under: uncultured bacterium
Lineage: Bacteria
Description: partial 16S ribosomal RNA
Rfam family: Bacterial small subunit ribosomal RNA
Source: RNAcentral
AGUGAACGCUGGCGGUAGGCCUAACACAUGCAAGUCGAACGGCAGCACAGUAAUAGCUUGCUCUUACGGGUGGCGAGUGGCGGACGGGUGAGGAAUACAUCGGAAUCUACUUUUUCGUGGGGGAUAACGUAGGGAAACUUACGCUAAUACCGCAUACGACCUACGGGUGAAAGCAGGGGAUCUUCGGACCUUGCACGAUUGAAUGAGCCGAUGUCGGAUUAGCUAGUUGGCGGGGUAAAGGCCCACCAAGGCGACGAUCCGUAGCUGGUCUGAGAGGAUGAACAGCGCCACUGGAACUGAGCGACGGUCCAGACUCCUACGGGAGGCAGCGGUGGGGAAUAUUGGACAAUGGGCGCAAGCCUGAUCCAGCCAUGCCGCGUGGGUGAAGAAGGCCUUCGGGUGGUAAAGCCCUUUUGUUGGGAAAGAAAAGCAGCAGGUUAAUCCCCCGCUGUUCUGACGGUACCCAAAGAAUAAGCACCGGCUAACUUCGUG